Molecule: ribosomal RNA, 253 nt
Filed under: uncultured bacterium
Lineage: Bacteria
Description: partial 16S ribosomal RNA
Rfam family: Bacterial small subunit ribosomal RNA
Source: RNAcentral
UACAGAGGGGGCAAGCGUUGUUCGGAAUUACUGGGCGUAAAGGGCGCGUAGGCGGCCUGCUAAGUCGAACGUGAAAUCCCUGGGCUCAACCCAGGAACUGCGUCCGAUACUGGUUGGCUUGAAUCCGGGAGAGGGAUGUGGAAUUCCAGGUGUAGCGGUGAAAUGCGUAGAUAUCAGGAGGAAUACCGGUGGCGAAAGCGACUCUCUGGACGGCAACUGACGCUGAGGCACGAAAGCGUGGGGAGCAAACAGG